CUUAAGCAUAUCAAUAAGCGGAGGAAAAGAAACCAACAGGGAUUGCCCUAGUAACGGCGAGUGAAGCGGCAACAGCUCAAAUUUGAAAUCUGGCGCAAGCCCGAGUUGUAAUUUGUAGAGGAUGCUUCUAGGUAGCGACCGGUCUAAGUUCCUUGGAACAGGACGUCAUAGAGGGUGAGAAUCCCGUAUGUGACCGGCCCGCACCUUCCACGUAGCUCCUUCGAAGAGUCGAGUUGUUUGGGAAUGCAGCUCUAAAUGGGAGGUAAAUUUCUUCUAAAGCUAAAUACCGGCCAGAGACCGAUAGCGCACAAGUAGAGUGAUCGAAAGAUGAAAAGCACUUUGGAAAGAGAGUUAAAAAGCACGUGAAAUUGUUGAAAGGGAAGCGCUUACAACCAGACUUUGGGGCGGUGUUCCGCCGGUCUUCUGACCGGUCUACUCUCCGUCCCGAGGCCAACAUCAUCUGGGACCGCCGGAUAAGACCUCAGGAAUGUAGCUCCCCUCGGGGAGUGUUAUAGCCUGCGGUGAUGCGGCGCGUCUCGGGUGAGGUCCGCGCUUCGGCAAGGAUGUUGGCGUAAUGGUUGUCAGCGGCCCGUCUUGAAACACGGACCAAGGAGUCUAACAUCUAUGCGAGUGUUCGGGUGUCAAACCCCUACGCGUAAUGAAAGUGAACGGAGGUGGGAAGCGCAAGCUGCACCAUCGACCGAUCCUGAUGUCCUCGGAUGGAUUUGAGUAAGAGCAUAGCUGUUGGGACCCGAAAGAUGGUGAACUAUGCCUGAAUAGGGUGAAGCCAGAGGAAACUCUGGUGGAGGCUCGCAGCGGUUCUGACGUGCAAAUCGAUCGUCAAAUUUGGGUAUAGGGGCGAAAGACUAAUCGAACCAU
This 879-nucleotide ribosomal RNA is filed under the name Ramularia trollii. RNAcentral's name for it is "eukaryotic LSU rRNA". It matches the Rfam family "Eukaryotic large subunit ribosomal RNA", at positions 33 to 943 of the family's 3401-position model. Lineage: Eukaryota; Fungi; Ascomycota; Dothideomycetes; Mycosphaerellales; Mycosphaerellaceae. The record is from RNAcentral.